UUUCAUUUGAAUUUUAGCAGAAAAUCAAGUCAAUAUGGACGUGAAUCGUACAUGCAGAUAAAAGACUCCAGACCGCUUAGUGAUAAAUCUUAUCAGCAUCAAGAAAUACAAGACAUAUUGCAGUUUCUUUCGGUCAACGAUUACCAG
Long non-coding RNA from Xenia sp. Carnegie-2017, 147 nucleotides. RefSeq lists it as uncharacterized. The record is from RefSeq and is a predicted model, not a curated record. The transcript has 3 exons. NCBI's taxonomy places the organism in Eukaryota, Metazoa, Cnidaria, Anthozoa, Malacalcyonacea, Xeniidae.